GCUCAGAAACUCAAAGGAAUUGACGGGUCCCCCGCACAAGCGGCGGAGCAUGCGGCUUAAUUCGAUGCAACCCGAAGAACCUUACCUGGGCUUGACAUCAUGGGAAAAGCCGUAGAGAUACGGUGUGCAUUAGCGUCCAUGACAGGUGGUGCAUGGCUGUCGUCAGCUCGUGUCGUGAGAUGUUGGGUUAAGUCCCGCAACGAGCGCAACCCUUGUCCUAUGUUGCCAGCGGUUCGGCCGGGGACUCAUAGGAGACUGCCGGGGAUAACUCGGAGGAAGGUGAGGACGACGUCAAGUCAUCAUGCCCCUUAUGUCCAGGGCUGCACGCAUGCUACAAUGGUCGGUACAACGGGCUGCGAUCCCGCGAGGGUGAGCGAAUCCCUAAAAACCGGCCUCAGUUCGGAUUGGAGUCUGCAACUCGACUCCAUGAAGUCGGAGUCGCUAGUAAUCGCGGAUCAGCUAAGCCGCGGUGAAUGCGUUCUCGGGGAUU
This 490-nucleotide ribosomal RNA is filed under the name uncultured Acidimicrobiales bacterium. RNAcentral's name for it is "bacterial SSU rRNA". It matches the Rfam family "Bacterial small subunit ribosomal RNA", at positions 891 to 1382 of the family's 1533-position model. Lineage: Bacteria; Bacillati; Actinomycetota; Acidimicrobiia; Acidimicrobiales. The record is from RNAcentral.